AUUGAACGCUGGCGGCAGGCCUAACACAUGCAAGUCGAGCGGAUGAAGGGAGCUUGCUCCUGGAUUCAGCGGCGGACGGGUGAGUAAUGCCUAGGAAUCUGCCUGGUAGUGGGGGAUAACGUCCGGAAACGGGCGCUAAUACCGCAUACGUCCUGAGGAAGAAAGUGGGGGAUCUUCGGACCUCACGCUAUCAGAUGAGCCUAGGUCGGAUUAGCUAGUUGGUGGGGUAAAGGCCUACCAAGGCGACGAUCCGUAACUGGUCUGAGAGGAUGAUCAGUCACACUGGAACUGAGACACGGUCCAGACUCCUACGGGAGGCAGCAGUGGGGAAUAUUGGACAAAGGGCGAAAGCCUGAUCCAGCCAUGCCGCGUGUGUGAAGAAGGUCUUCGGAUUGUAAAGCACUUUAAGUUGGGAGGAAGGGCAGUAAGUUAAUACCUUGCUGUUUUGACGUUACCAACAGAAUAAGCACCGGCUAGCUUCGUG
RNAcentral lists this ribosomal RNA (484 nucleotides) under uncultured bacterium. Its description in RNAcentral is "partial 16S ribosomal RNA". It matches the Rfam family "Bacterial small subunit ribosomal RNA", at positions 30 to 507 of the family's 1533-position model. The record is from RNAcentral.